GACGAACGCUGGCGGCGUGCUUAACACAUGCAAGUCGAACGAAGUGGCGAACGGGUGAGUAACGCGUAAUCAACCUGCCCUUCAGAGGGGGACAACAGUUGGAAAUGACUGCUAAUACCGCAUACUGAAGGAGGGGAUUGCGUCUGAUUAGCUAGUUGGGGGGGUAACGGCCCACCAAGGCGAUGAUCAGUAGCCGGUCUGAGAGGAUGAACAGCCACAUUGGGACUGAGACACGGCCCAGACUCCACGGGAGGCAGCAGUGGGGAAACUUCCGGAAUGGAGGAAAGUCUGACGGAGCAACGCCGCGGGAGUGGUGACGGGCUUCGGGUUGGAAAGCUCUGUUAAUCGGGACGCGGUACCGGAAUAGAAAGCCACGGCUAACUACGUGCCAGCAGCCGCGGUAAUUC
This 407-nucleotide ribosomal RNA is filed under the name uncultured bacterium. RNAcentral describes it as "partial 16S ribosomal RNA". It matches the Rfam family "Bacterial small subunit ribosomal RNA", at positions 28 to 526 of the family's 1533-position model. The record is from RNAcentral.